AUGUUUAAAGAAAUCGGUAAUUUCUUUAAUGUUUGAGUUGCUUUAUAUAUGUAUUUCCUCAUAGUCCUAGGCAAUAAUGCUACACAAUAAAUAGAAUGCUUCAAUCAACACCGUGAUCGGUGAUUGGUAUUAUCGGAUCGGCAGAUACUGAUUUCAGUGAUCGGAAACACUGGAGUUGAUAAGCGUGUCUUGUCUGAUCAAUACACAACAGUGAGGUGCGUGAAUGGACCGAGUGGCCAGCUGCUGAUCACGCACUCAAUAGCUCGACUGCAUGAAUAGAAGGUGCGCGCGCAGCGCGCAAAAAAAUUUUUUGGGAGCACCCAAGACCCAUUUUGACCCAGGAAAAGUGCGCCCCUAAAUUUUCUGCUUGCGCCCCUAACAUUUUAAGUUAGGAGCGACUGUGCUCCUAGUUAAAAAAGUUAGUCUGGAGCCCUGGUGUGCCACCCUUUCAGUGCGGCAAGCUUGAGAGAAAACUGCUUUUGGCCUCCGUAAAACUGUAGAUUUUAGAAGGCUUAACUCCAACCAUCGUGGAUUAAAGUAGAAUGUCAUGCAUUCUGGAUUCAUUACAAAUCAACUGAAAUAUUGCAAGCCUUUUAUUCUGAUUUAUUGCUGAUUAUGGCUUACAGCUUAAGAAAACUCAAAUAUCCUAUCUCUAAAUAUUAGAAUAUCAUGAAAAAGUAUACUAGUAGGGUAUUAAACAAAUCACUUGAAUUGUCUAAUUAACUCGAAACACCUGCAAGGGUUUCCUGAGCCUUGACAAACACUCAGCUGUUAUAAAUCUUUUUUUUUACUUGGUCUGAGGAAAUAUUAAAAUUUUAUGAGAUAGGAUUUUAGAGUUUUCUUAAGCUGUAAGCCAUAAUCAGCAAUAUUAAAAGAAUAAAAGGCUUGCAAUAUUUCAGUUGAUUUGUAAUGAAUCCAGAAUGCAUGACAUUUUUGUUUUUUUAAUUGCAUUACAGAAAAUAAAGAACUUUAUCACAAUAUUCUAAUUUUCUGAGACAGUCCUGUAUAGGCUGAAAACGCCAUCGGUAUUUCAUCUAAACUAAAUGUUGUCAUUCUUUUGGUUAUGUUGUAACAAUUCGCCCUUAGCAACUCAAUCAAGGGGAAAAGGUACAAUACACAAAAAAAAAAGGGAAUGGGCGGAUCUGCGAAUUCUGGUGUUAACUCUCUCUGCUCAAAUGGUCGUAAGAGAAAAACACAGUCGAUAUGCGGAAACCCAAAUGUUAUUAUAUUAAAUCAAAUUCAAUGCAUCUGCAAGCCCCCAAAAUGAACACAUAAACUACAAACAAUCAAACCCACUCAAAACGAAGUAUAAUCCCCGGAUCCCGACAGUCCCCAAAGUCUUUGCAGUCCCCCAAAACAAAAGUAAAUGACUGCACGCGCACACACCCCCCCCUGCCCCCCAAAAGCCGGCAAACAGCUGACCGACCAGGCGGAAACGUGGUGAGGCGCCGCGUUCAAUCCCCGCGCUACUUCACCCUAGUCCGGUAGGUGCUGGCCCAGUUCACAGUGUUCCUGCGCAGUCUUCUAUUAGUGAUCCCGCCCGUUGGUAUGAAUCCAAAAUAGAAACAGUCGCCGGAUUGCUGCCGUUCUGAGUCCGCUCACCAGUCCGCCGCCUGUCAGCGCGCUCCAAACAAAAAAAAACUUGCGUCACCUCCCCCUCGUCACCUUUUAUAACCCGUGACACGUACAAAUAAUAACAAUAAUAAUAAUUAUAAUACAGGACAACACAUGAUCCCAACUCAAUACAA
This is a long non-coding RNA of Pseudoliparis swirei, 1748 nucleotides long. RefSeq lists it as uncharacterized. The transcript is spliced from 2 exons. NCBI's taxonomy places the organism in Eukaryota, Metazoa, Chordata, Actinopteri, Perciformes, Liparidae. The record is from RefSeq and is a predicted model, not a curated record.